Molecule: long non-coding RNA, 571 nt
Filed under: Homo sapiens (human)
Lineage: Eukaryota; Metazoa; Chordata; Mammalia; Primates; Hominidae
Description: non-protein coding lnc-PMAIP1-5:1
Source: RNAcentral
UAUGCCAGAAAACAGUGAGCUGUGGUUGAAGACUGAUGGAGAUGUGGGAGAGGAAAAGGUUGAAAGGGAUCCCACUGGCCAGAUUUGGGACAAUUAGGGCAUCAGAGAGAAUCACGGCAGUGAUGGUACUAACAUUUUAAUUUUUUUUUUUAAAUAAACAAGCAGUUAAGUAAGUAGAUGGCAGAUAGUGGGAACCAGGUUCCACCCUGUUGGAGGAGGAGGUUACAUAUGAACAAGGAGAGGCUAGAAUGAUCCGUGUGGUCCUGGAUUGGAGUUGGAGAUGCUGUGAACUCAUGUUUAGCUUAUAUACACACAGUGAUUCCACGUAGAAAUUCUUAAAGAUGGGUGUGUGUGCUCAGGUUCACGUACACACAUAUGUUUCUUUGCUUUUUCAGGGGAGAUGGCCCAGAAGUAAUGACAUUCCAGGAGCAAUAGGCACACCUAGCACCCCGAUCUUGGUUUCUGUCUAGUGUACCCCAGUAAAAGGAAACAGAGGUCCUUGAAGAACUGGCUGACUCUAGGGCCAGGGCAGAAAAUACACAUGAAGGGGCCAGGUGCGGUGGCUCACGCC